GCCAAUCCACGCGGGGACGGAGGACGGAAGAGCCCCGCCCCCGCCACCUGGGCCGUCGCCUCCCGGGCGGCUUCACCCGCGGCCCCGCCUCGGCGGCCAUCUCAGUGCUGACUGGCUGGAAGCCACACGAUUCUAUUUCAAUUGGCUGCCGUUCGGUCCUUUGCGCGAAGGGGGAGGGCGGUAAUGGAGGGCCUCCUGCACCGGGCCUCGGAGAGGUCGGGGAGCAGCUUCUGGAGGUCGGAGUCCGCCAAAGAUAGCCCAGCGUCAGCCGCUGAGAGCCCGGCUCCUGCUCUGCCGUGCUGAGGGGAGGCUGCCGCGGAGAUCCCUAUAUCCCACCCCCUUCGGGGGACCCCGCCCCCGCUUCGUGCCCGUAUCCCGUCUUCCGGAUGGCCCUUGGGAUCCGCAGCCUUCCUGAGGCGCGAGAGUCGGCCAAGGCCUAGAAGAGCCCUCAGAGGGCCGCCCUCGCACCCUGUCUGACAGCCGCUAACCGCCUCGCGCAGGCUGCAUCUCUUCCUGUCCGACCUUCGUCCCCCGACCCCCAUCCUCAAAGGGAGUGAGCCCCAGAUCUGGGGGCCCAGACUAGCCCUCAACACACAUGGGGGGACCUGACAAAAAUGCAGAAAGAAGAGCAGCGAGACCCCUGGGAGAGGCGGCCCAGGAGACCCCCUCAAAACAGACAAUCCCAGCCUUCUGCUGAUACUGAUAUUCAGUCCAUCUUGGAAGCCCCCCUCUGCAGCCGUACCAUGAAGAGAAUGACGCAGGGCCUGCUCCUCACACUGGCAGGCCUGCCUGCCUUGGAAGCCAAUGACUUGGUUGAUAAAGACAGUCCCUUCUACUAUGACUGGGAAAGCCUGCAGCUGGGCGGGAUGAUUUUUGGAGGGCUCCUGUGCAUCGCUGGAAUCUUGAUAGCCCUGAGUGGAAAAUGCAAAUGCAAAUACAAUCAGAAGCACAGGUGAGAUGGGGUAAGGGUGGGGAGCCCGGAAAUUGUAUGCCCCUGGAGCUGAGCACACCUAUGUGGGGUAAAGUCCGGCAAUUUAGCUAAAGAGGACAGCCUCUUGGCUACUCCCUGGGCUUGCAGUGGGAUUUGUUAUUCACAGAUAAUCAACCCUGAAGUGCCCCACAUCAGGGAAAGCUAGAACCCUUAGUAUUGUUUAAGGUGACAAUGGAAGAAUAGCAACCCCUUACCUGAGAAAGCCACUCCACUCAUCACUCCAGGCUCUGCCAGUACCUGCUGAGCACAGGCACUCCUGGUACCAUCUCCCAUGCUGUUCCCUCCCUACUUGGCGGCCUUAGCCUCCAUAAUGGCCUUUCACUCCAAGAAAGGCUCCCUUCUGAUCAGGAGGCUGUCCAAAGCUUAUUUCUCUAUUAAACUGUCUCAUCUCCCCCC
RNA transcript from Canis lupus familiaris (dog), 1387 nucleotides. It is a transcript of the gene named FXYD domain containing ion transport regulator 4, with no coding region annotated. The record is from RefSeq and is a predicted model, not a curated record. NCBI's taxonomy places the organism in Eukaryota, Metazoa, Chordata, Mammalia, Carnivora, Canidae. The transcript is spliced from 9 exons.